This 250-nucleotide ribosomal RNA is filed under the name uncultured bacterium. Its description in RNAcentral is "partial 16S ribosomal RNA". It matches the Rfam family "Bacterial small subunit ribosomal RNA", at positions 779 to 1030 of the family's 1533-position model. The record is from RNAcentral.
UAGAUACCCUGGUAGUCCAUGCCGUAAACGUUGGGCACUAGGUGUGGGGCUCAUUCCACGAGUUCCGUGCCGCAGCUAACGCAUUAAGUGCCCCGCCUGGGGAGUACGGCCGCAAGGCUAAAACUCAAAGGAAUUGACGGGGGCCCGCACAAGCGGCGGAGCAUGCGGAUUAAUUCGAUGCAACGCGAAGAACCUUACCAAGCUUGACAUGCACCGGAAACACUCAGAGAUGGGUGCCCCGUAAGGUCGG